This 85-nucleotide transfer RNA is filed under the name Felis catus (domestic cat). It matches the Rfam family "tRNA". From Rfam's summary of the family: Transfer RNA (tRNA) molecules are approximately 80 nucleotides in length. Their secondary structure includes four short double-helical elements and three loops (D, anti-codon, and T loops). Lineage: Eukaryota; Metazoa; Chordata; Mammalia; Carnivora; Felidae. The record is from Rfam by way of RNAcentral. RNAcentral also lists the same sequence under 2 other names.
GCCUGGGUGGCUCAGUCGGUUAAGUGUCUGACUUUGGCUCAGGUCAUGAUCUCGCAGUCUGUGAGUUCAAGCCCCGCAUCAGGCU